ACCUUCGGGCCUCUUGCCAUCGGAUGUGCCCAGAUGGGAUUAGCUAGUAGGUGGGGUAAAGGCUCACCUAGGCGACGAUCCCUAGCUGGUCUGAGAGGAUGACCAGCCACACUGGAACUGAGACACGGUCCAGACUCCUACGGGAGGCAGCAGUGGGGAAUAUUGCACAAUGGGCGCAAGCCUGAUGCAGCCAUGCCGCGUGUAUGAAGAAGGCCUUCGGGUUGUAAAGUACUUUCAGCGGGGAGGAAGGGAGUAAAGUUAAUACCUUUGCUCAUUGACGUUACCCGCAGAAGAAGCACCGGCUAACUCCGUGCCAGCAGCCGCGGUAAUACGGAGGGUGCAAGCGUUAAUCGGA
Molecule: ribosomal RNA, 355 nt
Filed under: Escherichia coli
Lineage: Bacteria; Pseudomonadati; Pseudomonadota; Gammaproteobacteria; Enterobacterales; Enterobacteriaceae
Description: bacterial SSU rRNA
Rfam family: Bacterial small subunit ribosomal RNA
Source: RNAcentral